AGAGCGAACGCUGGCGGCAGGCUUAACACAUGCAAGUCGAGCGGGCGUAGCAAGUACGUCAGCGGCAGACGGGUGAGUAACGCGUGGGAACGUACCUUUUGGUUCGGAACAACACAGGGAAACUUGUGCUAAUACCGGAUAAGCCCUUACGGGGAAAGAUUUAUCGCCAAAAGAUCGGCCCGCGUCUGAUUAGCUAGUUGGUGAGGUAACGGCUCACCAAGGCGACGAUCAGUAGCUGGUCUGAGAGGAUGAUCAGCCACAUUGGGACUGAGACACGGCCCAAACUCCUACGGGAGGCAGCAGUGGGGAAUAUUGGACAAUGGGCGCAAGCCUGAUCCAGCAAUGCCGCGUGAGUGAAGAAGGUCUUCGGAUUGUAAAGCUCUUUCGACGGGGACGAUGAUGACGGUACCCGUAGAAGAAGCCCCGGCUAACUUCGUGCCAGCAGCCGC
This 449-nucleotide ribosomal RNA is filed under the name uncultured bacterium. Its description in RNAcentral is "SSU rRNA". It matches the Rfam family "Bacterial small subunit ribosomal RNA", at positions 26 to 518 of the family's 1533-position model. The record is from RNAcentral.